Molecule: transfer RNA, 74 nt
Filed under: Saccharomyces cerevisiae (brewer's yeast)
Lineage: Eukaryota; Fungi; Ascomycota; Saccharomycetes; Saccharomycetales; Saccharomycetaceae
Source: RNAcentral
GUUGGCUAGUGUAGUGGUUACCAUUUUCGGUUUUGCCUCGGACAUCUCCGGUUCGAAUCCGGGGGAUUUUAACU